This 2376-nucleotide long non-coding RNA is filed under the name Homo sapiens (human). Its description in RNAcentral is "HSALNT0164642". The record is from RNAcentral. Lineage: Eukaryota; Metazoa; Chordata; Mammalia; Primates; Hominidae.
CGCGUCAGACGCGGCUCCGCGAGGAAACCCGUUAUGCCCGACGACGGUAGAGCUGCCCAGUGCUGCUUGGUGGUUUUUUCUGUUCAUACCCAUUACCGAUGAAUUAAUAUCAAAGGAGGUGACCCUCUCCCCUCGCCCCCGCCUCCGCCGUCCCGAUGCCACGGAUAGCCUUGCCGUCCCAGAUCUCCGCGGUGGAGGAGGAAAGCCUAUACUUUGCACGUCCUCUCAGAACAGGAAAUGAGACUGUGAAGACUUUAUUACAACUUCGGGCAGCAGAUGAGUUUCAGAGAAAAUAUCCUUAUAAACACAAAUCAGAGACCUCUGUCAGACUUGACCCAUGGUUUCUGAGUGCAAAUGAGGAUUCCCGAUUACGGGGAGAACUGCGAGGAAACUUCAAGAUGACAUCUUUAUUCUCACAUCUCCAAGAACAUGCAGAAAGAAGUUACUGCUCUUAUACUGAGGCUCCCAGCAGGUCCUACAUAAACCAAGCCAGCUGCGGUUCAAGAAAAGGUCCAAAGGAGGACCCACUCGAGAGUGGGGUUGUCUAGAAGAAAUGAGAGACAGAGCAUCAAUCACAAUUAAAUUCUUCAGGAAGGUAAGAUGACUAGGAAUGCUAAACAGGAUGGCUGGAAACUAGAAAGACUUGCUACUGUCAUUAUUAACUCUGUGAAAGUGCAAACACUCCUUUGUCUUGCUGAAUGAUGGAGCUACACAUGCUCACGUGCUUUUAAGCGUCCCAAGGGUUUAGGGAAAAACCAAAAAAAAAAAAGUUUCAGGCUUAAGACUUCUGAGGCAGCUUUCUCUCUAACCCCCUCAAUGAGUUUAGUCAUGCAAGGAAAGAUUCUUUAAAGUUACCAAAGACUUUGUUUAAUGCCCAAGAAAAUGCAGACUGUCAGCACCCUUUGUCAGGUUUUGGUGGCUUAAGCCCAUUCUCCAAUACACUGGUGACCCUCCACCCUCAUUCACUAGUUUCUUUUUGACAUCAAGCGCUGGAUAAUUGUUUGAUUUCCUUCUAGGUAAAAGGAGAUUAAAUGCCCAGCUGCAACAGCUGACAUACAAAAGGGAAAAUAUAGUUUAACCACCAUAUUUAUCAAGAUAAUUUUUCUUCCACACACUGAUUAAUAACAUUAGCCAACAUCCCCUUUGGCUUGGGGAGAGAGAGGUGGGGAGAGACAUGUCCCCCUCAGAGUAUCAGAAACAGGAGUUGACAGUUCAAGGCAAAAAUGAUUUGCAUGUAAAUUCUCAUCAAAAGCAAGUCUGCACCCUGAAGUUGUCAAGUUUUGCUACCAAUUUGACACUUAAAUGGGCUAUAGCAAAACUUGAUUUAAACUGAAGAGGAAAAAAACAUGGCAACUCAAUUACCCCCUAGCAGAUCGGAUCUGGCAGCUGAGGUCAAACUUUUCACCCUGCCAUUACAUUUCUCAAUACCUGAUGCUUUAAACAAACACUAUGUAUUCCUCCUACAAUCCUGGAGGAAAACGCAUUUCUCAGGGCUCCCUACUGUGCCCCAGAUUAAAAAAUAAAUUUCACUUGUGUGGGAUCUGGGGCCAUUUUCUCCAUGUAAAUUUCUGAAUAAAUCAGGACUUAAGAAAUGGCCUUUUGCACUGGGAAAAAUAGUCUCUGCUUAAAAAAAAAAAAAAAAAAAGUUUGUGGGGAAGAUUUGUGGAGUAUUAAAAGAUGACUUAAAAACAAAUAUUCCCAUAACAUUAGAGGCAAAACGGUGACCUGUUUUUAGUUUGCUUUUAAUAUAUUUCAUAUUUGAGCUUAGGCUGAACAGCACAUUAAUUCAGCAGGGAGAAAAACAGCUAGCUAGUUCCAAAUCGGCUCCAAAUUUAUGGAGGACAAAGUAUCUCAUAAGGCCCUGGGACAAAGGCUCAAAUCCAGGAAAGACCCAGUUGGCCUCUGGGAAUUCCGUCCCACCAGGGUUUGAAUGCUGCGGUUGCCUAGGCUAUUCAAUCCCUGCAAGAGUUCUCAUUCCUGCAACAACUAUUUAAACCAACAGUUGUUAAAACUCUUCUUAUAAGUGCCCUAAAGCAGAUCCAAAACUGUUUUUUUCCUUUUUAAAAAAAAAACAACAAAACUUGUUUCCCUAAGUUUGUUUUAAGCUCUUCCUGUAAAAGCAAUGAGUUUAUUGACUCUGCAUUCACCAUAAUUUCUAGUUCUUAUAACAGGUAGCCAGGUAACACAUAGGGAAUUAUUUUACUUUUUUAGCCAAUAAACACAUUACAUAUUUACUGGAUGCCAGGCACUCUUCUGAACACUAGGGGCCCAAACAUGAGUAAUAGCUGCUUACAGUUGGGAAGACAAUCACAUACACAACUAAUUACAAUAGUGUGGGAUAAGCACUGCAAGAAAGUAAUAUUCAAAGUAUAUGAG